UUUGGAAGGCAAAUUUGGUGCCAGCAGCCGCGGUAAUUCCAACUUCAAUAGCGUAUAUUAAAGUUGUUGCAGUUAAAAAGCUCGUAGUUGAAUUUCGGGGUUAGUAAGUUGGUCGUGCCACUGGUAUGUACUGGCUUUACUGAUUCCUCCUUCUUGUAGAACUGUACAUGCCAUUUAAUUUGGUGUUGCGGGAAAACAGGACUGUUACUUUAAAAAAAUUAAAGGGU
Molecule: ribosomal RNA, 227 nt
Filed under: Glomus sp.
Lineage: Eukaryota; Fungi; Glomeromycota; Glomeromycetes; Glomerales; Glomeraceae
Description: partial small subunit ribosomal RNA
Rfam family: Eukaryotic small subunit ribosomal RNA
Source: RNAcentral